CCUACGGGAGGCUGCAGUGGGGAAUAUUGCACAAUGGGCGCAAGCCUGAUGCAGCCAUGCCGCGUGUGUGAAGAAGGCCUUCUGGUUGUAAAGCACUUUCAGCGGGGAGGAAGGCGUUAAGGUUAAUAACCUUGUCGAUUGACGUUACCCGCAGAAGAAGCACCGGCUAACUCCGUGCCAGCAGCCGCGGUAAUACGGAGGGUGCAAGCGUUAAUCGGAAUUACUGGGCGUAAAGCGCACGCAGGCGGUCUGUCAAGUCGGAUGUGAAAUCCCCGGGCUCAACCUGGGAACUGCAUUCGAAACUGGCAGGCUAGAGUCUUGUAGAGGGGGGUAGAAUUCCAGGUGUAGCGGUGAAAUGCGUAGAGAUCUGGAGGAAUACCGGUGGCGAAGGCGGCCCCCUGGACAAAGACUGACGCUCAGGUGCGAAAGCGUGGGGAGCAAACAGGAUUAGAUACCCUUGUAGUC
RNAcentral lists this ribosomal RNA (465 nucleotides) under uncultured Klebsiella sp. RNAcentral describes it as "bacterial SSU rRNA". It matches the Rfam family "Bacterial small subunit ribosomal RNA", at positions 338 to 795 of the family's 1533-position model. Lineage: Bacteria; Pseudomonadati; Pseudomonadota; Gammaproteobacteria; Enterobacterales; Enterobacteriaceae. The record is from RNAcentral.